Bactrocera dorsalis (oriental fruit fly) is the source of this 3183-nucleotide long non-coding RNA. RefSeq lists it as uncharacterized. Lineage: Eukaryota; Metazoa; Arthropoda; Insecta; Diptera; Tephritidae. The record is from RefSeq and is a predicted model, not a curated record. The transcript has 3 exons.
AAAUUCAAAGCAAAUUCAAAACAAAAAUCAGCUGUUAUUUAAGCAUGGCCUCCCAUUUUCAGUGCUUAAGAAUAGUAAAAAAGAACUGCAACCAAAUACGCAGUGAAAUAGAUUAUCACUGGCUCAGUAAUCAGUCGUUGAAUAUGUAUUACGAGUAUACCACGUGCAUUCCAAAAGACUGAUGUAACCUUUCCAGCGCACUUUUUCGUCUUUCUACGCCUGAGAACCGGUUCCUCAUGUGCAGUCCACUAAAAUGACUGUCAAUUGGACUCCAGUAGGAGUCCAUCAUAUCAAUUGAGCUAUGUAUCUAUAGUCACACACCGACGCAAAAAUUCGGUUUUAUUCCGAUUAAAGAGCACUCAAACACUUCUCAGAAUCAGUUAUGCGCUGUUUUUGUUAGAUUAUGAACUUGCGAGGCACCUACUUUGCACAGAGCUUUCGCCUCUUUAGGGCAUCGUCCAGGUUAGCAAAUAUCUUUUCAACGAUGGAUUUCCCUGAGCCCAAAUUCAACAGUAUUUUCCCCAAAAAGCCAAAUGCUUUAUUAACACACGAAAUGCUUUAAGAUCCAUUUUUUUGUAAACUAACAAAAGUUGCUUCACAAAAAUGUUAUAACUCAUGGAAAAGAGCUAUCCACCAAUAGUUAUAAUCCAACUAAUAGAAAUCAUAUAGAUCAGCCACAGUGAAGCGUGGACGGGUCCUCUAGUGUACAUAUAUAGUUGACUUAGAAGCAAGUGAUAUAGAAAAGUCUUUCACUUUUUUAGAAGUUCAAUCUAAGGCUGUUGGAAUACCGUAUGAGAAGGAUUUAGUUUUCAUUAAUUAUAUAUAUAUGAAUAUUGUUAAAAUAAAGUUCAAACCAUCAAAAUGAAAUCAAUAAAACGUAUGGACUUUAAUGCUCAAGCUAAAGACAGGAAAGAAUGCAAUUGUCGGAUGUUCCAAAUUUGAAUCACCUGCACUUUAUGUACAUAAGUAUAUGUUUGUUUACAUUUAUUUACUUAUUUUAGAUCAACUCCAAAUUUGCAUGGAAGUAGUAAUCGAUAUGAUAGUUGGUAUAAAUAAAAGGAAUCACACAUUGCUGAGGAAACGUCUUUAACGGCAAAAUUUCUAUUGUUAUAUCUGUCUAAAUGCAAAAAUAAAUAACGGCAAGCGCGAAGGUUAUUGAAAUUUCUUUUCUAUGAAAUCACUUUUAGACCGGCAGGGGUGGUUAAAAAUCUUAAAGAGAUAUCGACGGAUGCUGCUGUCCAAGAAUAUAAUGUUACAAAAGUAGUAUUUAGUUGUAUUUGUAUUGCUAUGUGCAUCCCUUAUUAUGAACAAUAGCUGUAGGUAUAUGGAAUAGCAUUUGUCUUGUUGUAGACAUCUUGCGCCGCGGCUGUCUGCUUGUCGAAACAAUAGACAUCUGGCGCCACGGCUGUCUGCUUGUCUAAGCAAUAGCUGGAUUUGGCGCCGUAUGUUCUGGUAAUUUCCAGACGCAAUAUUCUAGAAGGACACGUCGGCAUCAGCGAGAAGUGCGUGGCUAUAUAAGCCGUGGCAGCGCCAACGUAAUCAAUCAGUGCUAAGAGUAAACUGCUAUAGUGUAGACGAGUUGUGAAAUAAAGAGUUGUUGAAUUAAAUUAAACAGUGUUGAUUUUAUUUGUCAAUCCAGAGAUACGAACCUAACAAAGUAAACUAGCAAGCAGUAAAUUCGUAACAAUAAUAUUGAGGGAAGUCAUGGAAAAAAUCUUUAAGACGUCUGGAGAACUUUUACUCCACCCUAAUAGGUAAAUAAAUACUGUUUACUUUUUUCAAGAUAUUAUAACUGUUUUAGGUUAAGUUUGUGAUAACACUCAAUUAUAUAUUGAUUUAUGAGUAAUAUUUUUAUAACAAAAAUAGUUUUUAUUUGAAUAUCUUUGUAUCAAAUGACAAUUUGAUAAUAAUUUGAGGAUCUUGUUUUGGUGACUCCUUAUUAAAAAGGAUUGUAUAUGGAACUUCAUUGGUAGUAGAGUGAACAAUUAUAUGGUUAUGAGUGAAAAGUGUUUGUUCAAUUUCUAAAUAUUUUAGCUCUUUAUCACCUGAAGUGUUGAUUAUUCUAAGUUUUUCAUUUAAAGUUUUAUGUAGUCUUUCAUUGUCACCUAUACCAGUUUUACCGGUGGUUACUUCUACUUUUAUAUUUAAUGAAUUACACCAUUGUUUAAUGUUUAUAUUAUUUAAACCUUGGUCUUGGUCGAUUUUUAAAGUUUUUGGAGGACCCUUACAAUUAAAAAUUUUUAGCAAUGCUUUUUUGGAUUCCAGCCAGACCAAUGCUUUAACUUUUUCUAUCAUAGCAAACUUACAGUAUAAAUCGAUACAUGUUAAAUAAUAUUCAUUAUUCCAUUUCCAAAAAUCUAUAACAUAUUUUUCUCUUAUUUUGUAAAUUGGCGGUGUAAUUUUGAACGGCAUUUUGUUAGAAAUAUGAUCGUUCUUACAAUUAUUACACAGUUCACAUUCAUUUAUUAUUUUGGUGAUUUCCUUAAGAUAAUUGGGGUAAUAAUACUGUAAUUUAAAACAUUUUGCAACCUUCUCUAUACCUUGAUGAAAUCCAUUUAAAUGGAUUUCAAGUACUUUACUUUUAAAAUUUGCAAAAUCUGUAAUGUUUUUUAAUUCUGUUGUACACCGAUAAAUCUUGUUGCGACUUGUUGUUAUUAGUGUCUUAUAAACGUUUUGAAAUUGUAUAAAAUCAGUAUCAUUGGGCAUAAAAAUUGUUGUAUUAUUUUUUAAUGAAAGGGUUUUAAUUAUAUCUUUAAUAUAAUCAGAAGUUAAUUCUUUGUAUGUAAUUACAAUUAGGUUAUUAAAAAAACUUUUGUUGUUGUAGUUGAGUCUUUACCAUCUCUUAUUAAUUUAAUUUGAUUUUCGAAUACAAUUAAUGAUCGCUCUGUUAUCUUAAUAAAACUUUCAGAAUCUUCAUCGGCAGAAUGAACAGUGUCUACGUUAGAUUCAGAUUCUUCAUUAAAAAAGCAUUCCGUAUUUUUAAUACGAGAAAGAGCAUCUGCUACACGAUUUUCUUUACCUGAUAUGUAUUUUACGUCAAAGUCAUAUUCAUUAAGCCGAAUCUUCCAUCUUUGUAACUUGGAGUUUGGUUCCCUUAAGUUGUGGAGCCAUUGCAAUGGUCUAUGAUCACUAUUUAUUAAAAAUUUCCUGCCGUAUAAAUAUGAUCUAAAAUAUUUGGUAGCC